Hypoxylon cercidicola is the source of this 178-nucleotide non-coding RNA. The record is from the annotation of a GenBank genome assembly. NCBI's taxonomy places the organism in Eukaryota, Fungi, Ascomycota, Sordariomycetes, Xylariales, Hypoxylaceae.
GCUGCGGUGGUCUAAUGGUAAUGACACUGAAAAGAGGCCUGGAGCAUUCACUAAAUCUGCAAAACGCGGAUGCCAGACACCACAGAAACUGUGGGUGCCAGCCACAGCGAGCAGCUUUAGUGGAUGCUAGCAGAUAACCUGCUCAACUGAGAUGCCAGUUCGAAUCUGGCCCGCAGCA